This 548-nucleotide ribosomal RNA is filed under the name uncultured bacterium. RNAcentral's name for it is "bacterial SSU rRNA". It matches the Rfam family "Bacterial small subunit ribosomal RNA", at positions 356 to 896 of the family's 1533-position model. The record is from RNAcentral.
GAGGAAUAUUGGACAAUGGGCGCAAGCCUGAUCCAGCCAUGCCGCGUGUCUGAAGAAGGCCUUCGGGUUGUAAAGGACUUUUGUCAGGGAAGAAAAGGCUGUUGCUAAUAUCGACAGCUGAUGACGGUACCUGAAGAAUAAGCACCGGCUAACUACGUGCCAGCAGCCGCGGUAAUACGUAGGGUGCGAGCGUUAAUCGGAAUUACUGGGCGUAAAGCGAGCGCAGACGGUUACUUAAGCAGGAUGCGAAAUCCCCGGGCUCAACCUGGGAACUGCGUUCUGAACUGGGUGACUAGAGUGUGUCAGAGGGAGGUAGAAUUCCACGUGUAGCAGUGAAAUGCGUAGAGAUGUGGAGGAAUACCGAUGGCGAAGGCAGCCUCCUGGGAUAACACUGACGUUCAUGCUCGAAAGCGUGGGUAGCAAACAGGAUUAGAUACCCUGGUAGUCCACGCCCUAAACGAUGUCAAUUAGCUGUUGGGCAACUUGAUUGCUUAGUAGCGUAGCUAACGCGUGAAAUUGACCGCCUGGGGAGUACGGUCGCAAGAUUA